This 488-nucleotide ribosomal RNA is filed under the name uncultured Propionibacterium sp. Its description in RNAcentral is "partial 16S ribosomal RNA". The record is from RNAcentral. Lineage: Bacteria; Bacillati; Actinomycetota; Actinomycetes; Propionibacteriales; Propionibacteriaceae.
CACGUAGUUAGCCGGUGCUUCUUUACCCAUUACCGUCACUCACGCUUCGUCACAGGCGAAAGCGGUUUACAACCCGAAGGCCGUCAUCCCGCACGCGGCGUUGCUGCAUCAGGCCUCCGCCCAUUGUGCAAUAUUCCCCACUGCUGCCUCCCGUAGGAGUCUGGGCCGUAUCUCAGUCCCAAUGUGGCCGGUCACCCUCUCAGGCCGGCUACCCGUCAAAGCCUUGGUAAGCCACUACCCCACCAACAAGCUGAUAAGCCGCGAGUCCAUCCCCAACCGCCGAAACUUUCCAACCCCCACCAUGCAGCAGGAGCUCCUAUCCGGUAUUAGCCCCAGUUUCCUGAAGUUAUCCCAAAGUCAAGGGCAGGUUACUCACGUGUUACUCACCCGUUCGCCACUCGAGCACCCCACAAAAGCAGGGCCUUUCCGUUCGACUUGCAUGUGUUAAGCACGCCGCCAGCGUUCGUCCUGAGCCAGGAUCAAACUCU